Long non-coding RNA from Strongylocentrotus purpuratus (purple sea urchin), 399 nucleotides. RefSeq lists it as uncharacterized. The transcript has 3 exons. The record is from RefSeq and is a predicted model, not a curated record. Lineage: Eukaryota; Metazoa; Echinodermata; Echinoidea; Camarodonta; Strongylocentrotidae.
ACUUUCCAGGUCUGUGUUGCUUUCAAUUUUGUUCACACUCAUGCAGAAAAAGACUUGAAAGGAAGGCAUUUUAAACCAAAUCUUACUGGACUCAUAUUAAAACCAGUUGGCUUUUGUGAGGUGUAUUUGUGAGGACGCGGCUGUUUAAGUCAUCUUGCUCAUAAAGACUGAUUGGAAUGAGAGAGACAUUUUGAUUGACUGAAGACUCAAGCUGUUGACUGUAUCAAUCGACGGGACUCUGGACUGGACGGUAAGUUUUGAUUGAUCGAUGAUAAUUGACUCUCGGCUCGGUCUAGAUGGCGCAGAAAUAAGAUAACCCAUGGUCCAGACUGUGUGGAUAACCGGUCAGAUAGAGAGCUUUAUUUACAUCACAAGUGUGCUAACGUAUUGAUUACAUGG